Molecule: ribosomal RNA, 684 nt
Filed under: Triticum aestivum (bread wheat)
Lineage: Eukaryota; Viridiplantae; Streptophyta; Magnoliopsida; Poales; Poaceae
Description: partial small subunit ribosomal RNA
Source: RNAcentral
AUGUCGAGCAAGCCGUCGUCCAGGAGGGGCAGCUUCGCGCUGCGGCAGCCGCCGGUGGUGGACGUCGGCUGCAACUGCCGCCGCCCGAAGCUCUUCUCCAGCCUCCUCUCCUCGUCCUCCCUGCCGUUCCGCGGCCGGGGCGGCAAGCCCAAGUCGCCCAACGCCUCCUCCACGUCCACCACCACGGCGUUCACGGCCACGACGCUCGGCGGCCGCAGCGGCACCACGGCCACCUCCGCCGACUCCGCCUCCUGGGGCCCCGCGUCCUUCACCAACAACUCGCUGUACGAGGACCCGGCGGCCGCGCGCCGCCGCGGCCAGGAUGAGCCGGAGCAGGAGACGCGGCGCCGGCGGAGGCAGCGGCGGCGUCGCAGGCGCGCCGCCUGGGACGGCGUCGGCGGCGGCGCUGGGCACGGGGAGCAGGAGGCGGAGGCGCACGGGCGCGUGGCGCGGGAGAGCGUGCCGGUGGCGGUGGAGUCGGCGGAGCCGUACGAGGACUUCCGGGAGUCGAUGGUGCAGAUGGUGGUGGAGAAGGAGAUCUACGCGUGGGACGACCUCAACGACCUGCUCACCCAGUUCCUCACCCUCAACUCGCCGCGCCACCACCCGCUCAUCCUCCACGCCUUCGCCGACCUCUGGACCCGCAACGGCCUCUUCUCCCCUCCCUCGCCGUGCCAGUUCUAG